AGAGUUUGAUCCUGGCUCAGGAUGAAUGCUGGCGGCGUGCUUAACACAUGCAAGUCGAACGGGAAAUAUUUCAUUGAGACUUCGGUGGAUUUGAUCUAUUUCUAGUGGCGGACGGGUGAGUAACGCGUGGGUAACCUGCCUUAUACAGGGGGAUAACAGUCAGAAAUGGCUGCUAAUACCGCAUAAGCGCACAGAGCUGCAUGGCUCAGUGUGAAAAACUCCGGUGGUAUAAGAUGGACCCGCGUUGGAUUAGCUUGUUGGUGGGGUAACGGCCCACCAAGGCGACGAUCCAUAGCCGGCCUGAGAGGGUGAACGGCCACAUUGGGACUGAGACACGGCCCAGACUCCUACGGGAGGCAGCAGUGGGGAAUAUUGCACAAUGGGGGAAACCCUGAUGCAGCGACGCCGCGUGAGCGAAGAAGUAUUUCGGUAUGUAAAGCUCUAUCAGCAGGGAAGAAGAAAUGACGGUACCUGACUAAGAAGCCCCGGCUAACUACGUGCCAGCAGCCGCGGUAAUACGUAGGGGGCAAGCGUUAUCCGGAUUUACUGGGUGUAAAGGGAGCGUAGACGGUGUGGCAAGUCUGAUGUGAAAGGCAUGGGCUCAACCUGUGGACUGCAUUGGAAACUGUCAUACUUGAGUGCCGGAGGGGUAAGCGGAAUUCCUAGUGUAGCGGUGAAAUGCGUAGAUAUUAGGAGGAACACCAGUGGCGAAGGCGGCUUACUGGACGGUAACUGACGUUGAGGCUCGAAAGCGUGGGGAGCAAACAAAAUUAGAUACCCUGGUAGUCCACGCCGUAAACG
This 801-nucleotide ribosomal RNA is filed under the name uncultured bacterium. Its description in RNAcentral is "bacterial SSU rRNA". It matches the Rfam family "Bacterial small subunit ribosomal RNA", at positions 8 to 808 of the family's 1533-position model. The record is from RNAcentral.